GAUGAACGCUGGCGGCGUGCUUAACACAUGCAAGUCGAACGAUGAAGCCCAGCUUGCUGGGUGGAUUAGUGGCGAACGGGUGAGUAACACGUGAGUAACCUGCCCUUGACUCUGGGAUAAGCCCGGGAAACUGGGUCUAAUACCGGAUAGGAGCGCCUGUCGCAUGACGGGUGUUGGAAAGAUUUUUCGGUCAUGGAUGGACUCGCGGCCUAUCAGCUUGUUGGUGAGGUAAUGGCUCACCAAGGCGACGACGGGUAGCCGGCCUGAGAGGGUGACCGGCCACACUGGGACUGAGACACGGCCCAGACUCCUACGGGAGGCAGCAGUGGGGAAUAUUGCACAAUGGGCGGAAGCCUGAUGCAGCGACGCCGCGUGAGGGAUGACGGCCUUCGGGUUGUAAACCUCUUUCAGUAGGGAAGAAGCGAAAGUGACGGUACCUGCAGAAGAAGCACCGGCUAACUACGU
RNAcentral lists this ribosomal RNA (465 nucleotides) under uncultured bacterium. Its description in RNAcentral is "partial 16S ribosomal RNA". It matches the Rfam family "Bacterial small subunit ribosomal RNA", at positions 28 to 506 of the family's 1533-position model. The record is from RNAcentral.